GUAAAAUUAGUUUAUAAAAAAUACUAGAUUGUGGAUUUAGAGAAAAAAAUUCGAUUUAUUUUACU
This 65-nucleotide transfer RNA is filed under the name Opisthoteuthis sp. JN-2021. RNAcentral describes it as "tRNA-His". The record is from RNAcentral. Lineage: Eukaryota; Metazoa; Mollusca; Cephalopoda; Octopoda; Opisthoteuthidae.